UUCAAUAGGACAUUUUCGUAAAUGUUUUAGCUAAACAUUGUCUUAAAGGUUGCUGUGAUAUUUUAGUGAAUUAUUCUAAAUGUUUUCCGACAUAGUUUUCGAACCCAUCUAAAUGAUAACAAAAAUGCAGUCGUUUAGUAAAAUGACACUGGAGGUCUGAAGGUCAGGUUUUUUUUUUUUAGAGCAUAUUAGUUAACCUAGCUAGCUAGCUAAUUAGCUAACUCGUAGCUUCGCCCACCAACCUUUUCGAAUGAAAGACUUGUGAAGUCUUGCAACAUGAAUCAACACAAAUUGUCGCCAAAAAAACGUUUUAUGAAACCGAUUCUCUUUGGCACCUUAAUCGCAGGUCUUGCCACAGCAUUUUUCAACAGGCAUUUGUUCUUAAAAGACGUGGAAGAGAUUCGAGCUCAGGAACGUGCACGUUAUGAUGCCAAAAGGUUAGAGGUACUACAAAGAAGAGAGAAACAAAUAGAAAAGCUGACUGAGAAGAAACAAAAAGAGGACAAGUGAACUUAUGCACUUUCCGUGAAAUGAAUCAUCAACUUACCUUUGAGGAUAGCAGAAAUGCGCUUUCAGGUGACAAGAUGACCACUGAAAAUACCAGGGUGCCUGUCUUUAAUAUGCCUAUGUGUGUGUGAGAUUAAAUCAGUUUACAAUGUGAUAAAUCUGAGAAACACUUGGCACACACAAAGUUAUCAACACUUGCAAGGAGUCGGAAAGGACAUUAGUGUGUGUGUGGCAAGAACAUCUUCCACUACAUUCAAUAAAACUAUAAAACAAUAAAACUAUAUGGAACUAAGGGACUCAAUAUGAAAGUGAACCUAACUGAAAGUGAACCUAACUGUGCUGCGACAGUGUUGCGUGUGCCUGUUAUCAAGCCACAGACAAAUAUCUUUGAUAUUAAAUUGCCAAGAGGAUAAGUACAGUUUCCAGUAAAACAUUUUGUAUUUCACCUUUCAAGUUUAAUGCUUCAGCACAGUAUCUGCCAUAUGAGUUAUGUACAUGAUUGCAGUUCCCAAUUUUUUUUUUCAAAGUAACCUUUAAUGUUUUAAAUGAAUGUAUGAAAGAACCUAAAAUAUAUGUAAAUAUUAAACAAAAUAAAAAUACAAAUGAGGCAUUUGUAAAUUAAUGGACAUGUUUAUGGUAUUAAAAUUAAAGCUUUUCACUCUGAAAUGGUUCAUUGUAAAGGUUAUAUUUACUAUAUUGUUAUUUAUUUUUGGCUAACAUAAGAUUGCCCAUAAAUUGUUAUUGUAUUGCCAAUGUCGUCUUUAUUUUAAAAUGAACAUAUAUUAAACAAUUUCAUGUUGAA
This is a long non-coding RNA of Electrophorus electricus (electric eel), 1309 nucleotides long. RefSeq lists it as uncharacterized. The record is from RefSeq and is a predicted model, not a curated record. NCBI's taxonomy places the organism in Eukaryota, Metazoa, Chordata, Actinopteri, Gymnotiformes, Gymnotidae.